GAGUUUGAUCCUGGCUCAGGGUGAACGCUGGCGGCGUGCUUAAGACAUGCAAGUCGAACGGUCUUUUCGGAGACAGUGGCGCACGGGUGAGUAACACGUAACUGACCUGCCCCAAAGUCGCGGAUAACUGGGUGAAAGUCCAGCUAAUACGUGAUGUGCUGUCAGAUUUUGUUCUGCCAGUAAAGGUUUACUGCUUUGGGAUGGGGUUGCGUUCCAUCAGCUGGUUGGUGGGGUAAAGGCCCACCAAGGCGACGACGGAUAGCCGGCCUGAGAGGGUGGCCGGCCACAGGGGCACUGAGACACGGGUCCCACUCCUACGGGAGGCAGCAGA
RNAcentral lists this ribosomal RNA (331 nucleotides) under uncultured bacterium FR056. RNAcentral describes it as "bacterial SSU rRNA". It matches the Rfam family "Bacterial small subunit ribosomal RNA", at positions 9 to 355 of the family's 1533-position model. The record is from RNAcentral.